ACAAAAUGAACCUCUGUCUACAAAGCCUCUAAGAUUAUUUGACAUCAAAUGGGAUAGGGUACCGGCGUACCCAUAAGUCUGUAGAAAAACUCUGACUCAUAGACUCGGCUGCACUCCGACUGAGGUGGAGUCUUACUGAUCCUUCGCUGAAUGCCAAUUUCGUCUACUAUGAGGGCUCGUCAAACUGAUUCUACCCGUCUAUCAGGACCUGCAGCAUGACAUGCAGCGUCCACCAAUAAAACGGACGUCAGUACGAAUAAUGUACUAAGUAUGUAAGGCAGGAAAGCAUAAGUAAGAAUAGUAAUGUAAACAGGGAUAGAGAAUAUACAACCUGUGACAUCUGGGUACCUCUGAGGGCUACUGACAUGAAAUACAUGAUACAUACAUAUAUAUACAUAAACCUUUAAAACAUACGCCUUUACGGGCAUCACCAUCAUCAUAUCGUACCUAGCCGUAAUAGGCUCGGUAAAGCAUACCCGGCCAUCAUACGGCUCGGUAGAAUCGUACCCAGCCACGUGGAGCUCGGUAAAAUCCAACUGAUCAGUGGUUGCACAAUAGGUGUCGUACCUGGCCGACUAUAGCGCGGCUCGGUAGAGUAAAAUAGAUACAUAUAUAUGAUGCAUGCUGGACUCAUUGGAAUCACAUUUUGAACCUUUCGGAGUGACGUAAGGUCGGUAUGUUUCGUACACGUUAUUAGGAUUAACUCUUCAUCAAGAAUCUUAUAAGAAUCAGAAACUACCAACAAUAUUUAUAAUAUAAGAAUAAAAGAAGUAACAUCAAUAUCAAUCAUUUCAUAAGAAGGGCAGCAAUGUAAGUACUGCUAGCUUCUAAGAGUAGAGUAUCUUUGGGAGCUCGUUCAUUAUAUUAUGUACAAUCGGAGUCGUGCAAAAGAAUGAAGGGGAUAUACUCACAUACCUGAGCCGAUUCUCUAGACAAUCCCGCAAACACACGACGAUUGCGACAAAACAUGUGACAGCAAGAAUAACGACAAAGGAAGGCGACCCAAAAAACUUUCCCACCAUCAUUGAACAAAGCUAUGCAGACACAUCGAACAUGGUAGGAAAAGAUUACAUGUCUAACACUUCAUAUUGCUACUUCAGAACAACUCAAAAAUUAACCAGUUUGAUUAUAACACAAGAACCCACAGAAUAACCAGGAAUUUCUACACAUUCAUUUUGUUGAAAAAAGAACUUCCAUACUUCUUAGACCUUUUCUAUUAGUAAUCUCAGCCUCCAAUAUCUUUCUUCGCUUAAUGGACUAUAACAAACAAUGUAGAGAUGUAAUUAUACGAGGGGUAAAAACAACAUAUAGAGAUGUCAAUUUCAGUAGAGUAAACUAUGGCAAGAUUUGAAUUUACUGGGAUAACAGAUGCCAACU
RNAcentral lists this long non-coding RNA (1377 nucleotides) under Nicotiana tabacum (common tobacco). RNAcentral describes it as "long non-coding RNA (NTAB_LNC004656)". The record is from RNAcentral. Lineage: Eukaryota; Viridiplantae; Streptophyta; Magnoliopsida; Solanales; Solanaceae.